CCGAACCCUUUAGAGUUAUGGGGAAAUUUUGGAUUGUAAUUGAAGAGGACAUUGUGGGCUUUCCAAUGGUAUCAAAAUUCGAUAGUUUUGAUGGUCGAAAGUUGCCGAAAAAAUACCUUAAAAGUCGCCCAAAAAAUCUGAAAAUCUGGGCAGAUUUUCAAAAUUUUUGGGCAACUUUUAAGGCAAUUUUUCGAUCGAAUCCCUUGGAAUUAUAAUGAGAUUUUGGGUGGUAAUUGAAGAGGACAUCGUGGGCUUUCCAACGGUAUCAAAAUUCGACAUUCUUUGUGGUCGGAAGUUGUCGAAAAUUUGCCAUAAAAGUCGUCCAAUUAUUUGAAGAGACGAGUGGUGAAUAAGUAAUUAUAUAAAAAG
RNAcentral lists this long non-coding RNA (369 nucleotides) under Olea europaea subsp. europaea. Lineage: Eukaryota; Viridiplantae; Streptophyta; Magnoliopsida; Lamiales; Oleaceae. The record is from RNAcentral.